AACGAACGCUGGCGGCGUGCCUAACACAUGCAAGUCGAACGAGAAUUUUCCUUUCGGGGGAAUAGUAAAGUGGCGCAAGGGUGAGUAACACGUGAAUAAUCUGCCUACGAACUCGGGAUAACGCGGGGAAACCUGUGCUAAUACCGGAUAAGACCACGUCUCUCAUGUGAUGUGGCCAAAGGAGUCUCAAACUCCAUUUGUAGAUGAGUUCGCGGACCAUUAGCUUGUUGGAGGGAUAACAGCCCCCCAAGGCGACGAUGGUUAGCCGGCCUGAGAGGGUGAUCGGCCACACUGGAACUGAGACACGGUCCAGACGUCCUACGGGAGGCAGCAGUGGGGAUCUUGCACAAUGGGGGAAACCCUGAUGCAGCGAUGCCGCGUGAGUGAAG
Molecule: ribosomal RNA, 389 nt
Filed under: uncultured Nitrospina sp.
Lineage: Bacteria; Pseudomonadati; Nitrospinota; Nitrospinia; Nitrospinales; Nitrospinaceae
Description: bacterial SSU rRNA
Rfam family: Bacterial small subunit ribosomal RNA
Source: RNAcentral